GCAAGAGCAGAGUUGAAAUCCUCUGUGAAACAGCUGGAAAAGGUUCUCCAGAACUGUUCAGAACCUGAUGAAUGCCACAUCUGCCCUACCCCUAACCCAUUGUACCUUAUCCCUAUGAGCUGAGUUGCCUGUGUGCUUGACCUCUUUGUGAGUCAUGAUGUCAUCAAAUCCACCACUGAUCUGCAAUGGGAUUGGAGCAACAUGGAUAGAAGGCCAGGAGAACGAUGGCCCAAAAAGGAACUGAAGAAAAAAAAAGCCCAAAUGUGGGAAAGCAACAACAGGGAUGAAGAAAGAGACCUCCGAGAGAUCAGGAGAAAGUCACGGGGGAAGAUCUGGGAAGAUUAUCCACCCAAGAGAACAAGCAGAAAGGAACAGUACACGGACAGAACCUGCAACAGCUGAACAAAAUCUUUUUGGGACUGUAGACCAUGGUAUUCACCUGUCUCAUUAGAUAGGAUUAAGCUAAGGUAGUUUUGUUUUUCAUUUGUUUGCAUUUACAACCAGUUCUUCCUUAAGAAACUUCAGAUAACUCUGCAUGUGGCUUUCCCAUUGUGUUUGCAAAACUAUUCUGGACAAAUAGAUUUAAAGUGCAUUGGGGUUUAAUCAGUGGGGGGUAGAACAAUGGGAAAGUAGAGCUCAGGCCAUAAAGAUUAUUGGACUCAAAUAGGACUAUAUUCAGGAAAGGAAGAAAUACCAAUUGAUUGAUAAUGCCAGUCUGGCGGAAAUAUCCUGUAUGAUUAACCAUCCUAUACAUCUUAAUGAAAUAAAAGUCUCUGUUCCUUUUUUUUGUUAUUUUUAA
Long non-coding RNA from Thamnophis elegans (Western terrestrial garter snake), 799 nucleotides. RefSeq lists it as uncharacterized. NCBI's taxonomy places the organism in Eukaryota, Metazoa, Chordata, Lepidosauria, Squamata, Natricidae. The transcript has 2 exons. The record is from RefSeq and is a predicted model, not a curated record.